Non-coding RNA from Paramuricea clavata, 369 nucleotides. NCBI's taxonomy places the organism in Eukaryota, Metazoa, Cnidaria, Anthozoa, Malacalcyonacea, Plexauridae. The record is from the annotation of a GenBank genome assembly.
CACUAACUCACCGUCAUGUUUCUCCAUGAUUUUGUAUUCCUAAUAUCCAAUAUAUUGCUUGCUGGACCCAAUAUGUUAAGAUUGUUAUCAGAAAUAUUUAGAUGAACGAUUUGUUGGAGUAUUCUGGCUAUAAUAGUAAUAUUUUGUGGGUCUAUUCCUUUUUCUCUUUGUUCUUUGUCCAUCUUAUCAAAGUUUGUUACGUUUAACAGAUCGUCGAUAACUUUUGUAGCAACCUUUUUUCGGACUUCAUCUGAUACAUUUUUACGAUAGAGAUCAUCGACCUGAAAAUUAAGGAGGUAGGUAAUCUUCGAGUCAAGCCCUUCGAGUUAAGCCUUUCGAGUUAAGCCCCAACCACGCCCAAACCACGCC